AAAACCUAACACUUCUUAUUUUUUCUAACAUCUUCAACCAGCAUCGUGUACAUCUAGCACGUGACUUUCUCGGGAUGGGUCGGGUACCUUUAAAGUUAAUUGUAGACCAGGUCACUUAGUCUGUGAACAUCAACAGCAUGGAAUAUUUUCAGUGCACAAGGGUGAACUCUUUCACAGCACUGAGCAGCUUUUCCAGUCCGCAGAUUUCUGGUCCAUUCUGUACGAUUGGCAACAUUUAAAAGUCUGAAGAACACAUCAAGGAAUGAUGCUGUAAGUGCGUAGCCUUGACAUCAGGCUGAACAAAGAAUUUUUCAUUUACUUGAGUGAGGGCAACCAUAUUUCUUCAAGCGCACUGUGUUGUCUAGACUCCAGUGCAAUAACAGAUUAUGUCUUCCAUAAUCAAAUUCCCGUUUUCUUUUGUUGAAGUCUUAAAUUCUCCAAGCAGAUACUAAUACAGCUUCAUUUUUCGUCUUUUUCCUGUUGAAAUAUCUCUGGUAUUUUGUAGAAGCGCGGAAGUAUCAUCGAUACUUCACUCAAAAAAAAAACAACAAAAACCGCGAAGUAGUGAAUCCGCGAUAUAUGAACCGCGAAGUAGCGAGGGAACACUGUAACUGGGUAAACCUACGGGGCAAAUACGGAUAGAAAGUGCUCGUUUGUCAAGAUGAUUAGUUAGACCUUCACUUCUUUCUCAUCUUCUCUAGAUAUUACGACUUGCGAGAGAGGUAAAAUCACCGCAAAAUAUUAUGUCUUCACUGUUCAGAUUCAAACUUAUGCUGUUGCUGUCAGACACUACAAUACUAUGUCUGGCAGGCUGACUGACACAUCCCCUCCCAGACUUGUGCCUGGGGCAACACACUGCUAGCAGGAACACUGAGUCACAACGUGAGACAGCCGUAGACAGAACGUAGCUCCGAGCACAGACUUUGUCCUUAGUCAACCGGUUGGCGAUGACUCGUCGCGCCCUUCUCUCAAGCUGCUCUCUCUUUUUCUUCUCCCCUCAACCUCUUGUCCUCCCUUUGUAUAUCUCCCGGUAGGGGUAAUGUGCCAUGUUUCCAGGAUGUCCUAUAAACACAGAUGGGACAACACAGACAGCGGUUCACGUGCUCUAGCCCAGAUGUCAACAAAUCACUUGCAGUCCGCAGGUUGCGAGACUCACCAUGACCAGAGCUCGUGCUCACCUGUGUGCAAGCUACGAAAAGACUUCUCGCCAGGUCAAUUCUGUGCAGAGCUGCACGACUGUAAAGCAUCAAACUACACUUUCUAGCAAAGAUAACAGGUUUGGUAAACCAGCUUUUAAAACCAGGUCAGGUCAGCCCAUAAGGUUAUUCCCAUUCCUUCCUUUUCCACCAACCUCACUCCUUGCUUCCCACACCAUAUACUUCAUCAAUUAUCUUCUUUAAUCCCAGACAAAUUCUUUUUCCCUCUUGUCAUCAUUUCAUCAUUUCCAACCUCUUCCCUUCCCACAAACCUUCCAAUAGCCUCCCUAUUUUGCCCUUCUACACAUUUGCUUCACACCAAUUUCUAAACCUUCUCAACUUUUCACCUCUACCUCUCACACUUUGUUACCAUCCAACUCCCUCUCUCUCCUUCCCUUACAAAUCCAACUUUACCCCUUUCUCCACCCCUUUAUUACCUUUUCCUUUCCAUCAAACCUUUCCUAUCUCUUCCUUCCACUUACCAUCCCUUCAUUCACCUUCUCUUCCUUCUCAACCCUUACUGCCUUCCAACCUUCCCGACGAGACGGACAAGUGGUGCUCAUGGCAGUUACCGAGUGUGCAACGCUUCACCAUCAGCAUCUGUCUGGUCGCAGACACAGAGCUCGAGGCUGGUAGAUAAGCGUUGGUCCUUGUUAGGCGCUGUUCAGCUCGAGACAGCAGUGCGGCCUAUAGGACG
This is a long non-coding RNA of Pomacea canaliculata, 1893 nucleotides long. RefSeq lists it as uncharacterized. The transcript has 3 exons. NCBI's taxonomy places the organism in Eukaryota, Metazoa, Mollusca, Gastropoda, Architaenioglossa, Ampullariidae. The record is from RefSeq and is a predicted model, not a curated record.